Long non-coding RNA from Tarenaya hassleriana, 1703 nucleotides. RefSeq lists it as uncharacterized. NCBI's taxonomy places the organism in Eukaryota, Viridiplantae, Streptophyta, Magnoliopsida, Brassicales, Cleomaceae. The record is from RefSeq and is a predicted model, not a curated record. The transcript has 2 exons.
AAAAUCAAUAGAACAAAGCCGUCGGUUGUCACGCCGCUUUACCUGUCGUCCCUCCCUCCCUCUAUUCAGCCCGUCUUUGCCUUAUUUUUCUUCGUACCCAAAUCGAGAAACCCUAUUCCGCGAAGAAGAACCUUCCCCUCUUCCUCCUCUGCGUCUGCUUCUGCUUCCUCAGGCGACACCGUCGUAAAUUCGCCUCUGUAUCCGCCGUAUCCGCCGGCGUCGCGUCUCCGGUGGGCUUGCGAACUGGAAUUUCAGGCGAAUCGUCAGUGGAGGAUGUUGGUAAAAGGGUUCUGCCUUUGAGAUUCGGUCGCUCUUCACCGCGUGCAUGGUGGCCUUACGCUUGUCAGUCUCAGAGACCAUGCAGGGAUUAUCCAGGUUUUCGAAUGUGCCUAAUGUUUCACUAUUUGGGUUCCAUGGAAAGUUCUCUUUCUUGUUGAAGAGCUUUAGCUUUGUGGUUUCUGAGACGUAUUUGAAGACAGAGAAUUGUCAAGUUCGAACACACUUUGGAUCUGUUUCGGCCUUUAAGUGUCAAAAUGAAAUCGUAGAGUAACAAUGGCUUGGUAGUUUCCUUGAUUCCUUAUGCUUUUCUUCAUUUCUUGUAUUGGAUGGCACUUGGAAGCUUUUUUUAGGAGCUUUUGCUCAAUGGUACUAGACUGGUAAAUACUAAUUACUGAACCUGAGAGCAAUGUGAUAGAAGAAAAAGUCUGAAUCUUUCUCUGGCAGGGACAUUGGAAUAGUGCUGCUAGUUCAUGUUUCAUAGUUUUUGGAAUCGCCAGCAGGGGGAAACUAUACAUGUAGCAAUCCGAAAUUUAGACAUUUACUCAGCUUUAUUGGUUAUAUGUCAGCUUCAAUUCGGAAUAAACCAGGUGCUCAUUGUAGUAGUUUCUUUGGUUGGAAUUAACUAAUGUACUUCCGAGUUGUAUGUGUGGGGAAUGUAUGCUUCUUUUUUGGUUGAAAAUGCCAUGGUGAAUGACUAGAGGCUUGAGUACUUGGUACUGUUCGAUCUAGGCUAGGGCCGCAGGCCGCUAGGCCAAAUGAGUUGGUCAAAACAAUGAAAUGAAAAGCAGAUUCAUUGAAGUCUUGGAUGAUGGUAAAAUGAUGAUUAUUACUUGUUUCUCUUCUACUUUUUCGUUUGAUUCUUUGCGUUCAGCUCUUAUCCGAUCUAAGCUUGUCAUCUGGGUGAGGUUGAGGGAAUUCAACCAUUAGCAGAUAAAGCAGAUUUUUUGAGACAAUAUCGAGCAAAACAGGGCGAUCUUAUAUUAAUAAAACUCCAGACAUCUUUGUAGCUCAUGAUAUGGAUUUGAUUGGCCAUGUAAGUUUCAUUCUAGCUUCUGUUAUAUCUCUUACACGGUCCAUGGGUGGCUUGAGAAUUGGUGGAGGAAGUUUGAGUAUUUAUAAGAGAGAGGUCCAAGAAAAGGCCUUGGAGAUCAUUGGAAUUUCACCAGGAGAUGUCAGAAACGGUGUUCCGGCUGGAAAUUACAGAGAAAUUACCGAUUUUGUAUUUGAUUGGUUAAGGAUGUUAAACCAUUAUUAAUAACUGUUCAGAUCUUCUGGAACCAGAAGAUGCUGAUAACAUGGUAUUCAAUUUCAAUUCAACAACUGGGUGUUGGUAUCUGACGUAUUAUUGUUCAGAUAUUUGUGAAGAAGAUCUACAAUGAUAUCAUAUCAAAAGAUGAAAUAAAAAAACGAACAUAUUCUUGAUU